GCAUAGCGGUAUCCUGAGUAACGCGGGACACGAGGAAUCCUGCGCGAAUCUGCCGGGACCAUCCGGUAAGGCUAAAUACUCCCGUGAGACCGAUAGCGAACGAGUACUGUGAAGGAAAGGUGAAAAGAACCCCGAGCAGGGGAGUGAAAUAGUUCCUGAAACCAUACGCCUACAAGCGGUCGGAGCAUCUUACGAUGUGACGGCGUGCCUUUUGCAUAAUGAUCCUACGAGUUACCGUCACUGGCGAGGUUGAGUGUCAUGAGACACGUAGCCGCAGUGAAAGCGAGCCUGAACAGGGCGCAUAGUCAGUGGGGGUAGACGCGAAACCAAGUGAUCUACACUUGGCCAGGAUGAAGUCCCGGUAACACGGGAUGGAGGUCCGCACCAAUAAGCGUUGAAAAGCUUCUGGAUGAGCCGAGUGUAGGAGUGAAAGGCCAAUCAAACUUGGAGAUAGCUCGUACUCCCCGAAAGGCAUUUAGGUGCCGCGUCGGAUGGUCACCGUGAGAGGUAGAGCGACCGAUAGGACAAGAGGGCUUCACCGCCUAUCGAGUCCUGACGAACUCCGAAUGCUCACGGUCUGCAGUCCGGCAGUAAGGGGGCGGGUGCUAAGGUCCGUCCCCGAGAGGAGAAGAAUCCAGACCGCCGUCUAAGGUCCCGGAGUUCUGCCUGAGUUAGUCUAACGAAGUCUGGUCCCUAUGACAGCUAGGAUGUUGGCUUGGAAGCAGCCAUUCAUUCAAAGAGUGCGUAACAGCUCACUAGUCGAGGGUCCGGGCAUGGAUAAUAAUCGGGUAUAAGGCAGACACCGAAGGCGCGGGAUAGCAUUUAAGAAAGUAUCGGUAGGGGAGCAUACUCACAGCGUGGAAUGGUGUACGUAAGUUAUCCUGGAGCGGUGAGUAAAGCAAAUGUAGGAAUAAGUAACGAUAAGGAGGGUUAGAUUCCCUCCCGCUGUAAGACCAAGGUUUCCCGGGCAAUGCCAAUCAGCCCGGGGUCAGUCGGGUCCUAAGUCUAAGCCGAACGGCGAUGGCGAUGGCAGAGACGGUUAAUAUUCCGUCACUGCCGCAUGGGGCGACGUGGAGACGGAGCAGUGAAACCACCGCGGGGCGACGGAAGUCCCCGUUGAAGAGUGUAGGUGUUGAGGAUGGCAGGCAAAUCCACCGUCCGAGCUGAACUUGACAGUAUGGAGUCUUCUUCGGAAGAAUCCAAUAGUGUGGGUAAUCAUACUCCCGAGAAAAUCCGCUAAGCUUAACCCAUGCGGCACCCGUACCGCAAACGGACACACGUGGUCGGGUAGAACAUACUAAGGCGUUGAGAGAUUCAUGGUUAAGGAACUAGGCAAAUUGACCCUGUAACUUCGGGAUAAAGGGUCCUCGUGAUGAGCGAGGCGCAGAGAAUAGGUCCAGGCAACUGUUUAACAAAAACACAGGGCUGUGCAAACUCGAAAGAUGACGUAUACAGCCUGACACCUGCCCGGUGCCGGAAGGUUAAGAGGAGAUGUCACUCGCAAGAGGAAGCAUUGAAUUGAAGCCCCGGUAAACGGCGGCCGUAACUAUAACGGUCCUAAGGUAGCGAAAUUCCUUGUCGGGUAAGUUCCGACCUGCACGAAUGGUGUAAUGAUCUGGACACUGUCUCAACCGUGAGCUCAGUGAAAUUGUAGUAUCGGUGAAGAUGCCGAUUACCCGCGAUGGGACGAAAAGACCCCGUGAACCUUUACUACAGCUUAGCAUUGACCUUGGUCAUCCGAUGUGUAGGAUAGGCCGGAGGCUUCGAAGCGGGAGCGCCAGCUUUCGUGGAGCCAUCCUUGAAAUACGGCCCUUUGGCUGUCUGAGGUCUAACGCGUGAUACGCGGACACUGCUUGGUGGGUAGUUUGACUGGGGUGGUCGCCUCCAAAAGCGUAACGGAGGCUUCCAAAGGUGCCCUCGGGUCGAUUGGUAACCGACCUCAAAGAGUGCAAUGGCAUAAGGGCGCUUGACUGGGAGGCAGACAUGCCGAGCAGGCAGGAAACUGGGGCAUAGUGAUCCGGCGGAUGUGUAUGGAAACUCCGUCGCUCAAAGGAUAAAAGGUACUCCGGGGAUAACAGGCUGAUCCCCCCCAAGAGCUCAUAUCGACGGGGUGGUUUGGCACCUCGAUGUCGGCUCGUCACAUCCUGGGGCUGGAGAAGGUCCCA
RNAcentral lists this ribosomal RNA (2165 nucleotides) under wastewater metagenome. Its description in RNAcentral is "bacterial LSU rRNA". It matches the Rfam family "Bacterial large subunit ribosomal RNA", at positions 395 to 2567 of the family's 2925-position model. The record is from RNAcentral.